This 240-nucleotide unclassified non-coding RNA is filed under the name soil metagenome. Its description in RNAcentral is "partial contains 5.8S ribosomal RNA, internal transcribed spacer 2, and large subunit ribosomal RNA". The record is from RNAcentral.
AACUGAUACUACCUGCGGGAACCUGCGGAGGGAUCAUUACUGAAGUGAUUUGGGGAUGUUGCUGGCCCUCUCUCAAGGGGGGGCACUGUGCACUCCUCGAAACAAUUCACAAUUUCCAUCACACCCCUUGUGCACGCCUUGUAGGCACCCAAACCCACCUCCGGGUGGUGGGGUCCUAUGUAUUCCUUCAUCUCACACUCUGUUGAAUGGUGCCAUGGGACGCAUCUAAAGGAUUAUUUG